GGCGGUUCCUCGGCAGCUAUUUUGGGGGAGAUGACAGGCGCCGACGUUACAGUUAAUGCGGGCGUGUCGACAUCUCGGGCGGUGGAAGCCUCAACUUCCAGGGCGGCAUAAGGAAGGGGCGUUUCAGGAGAGGGGGAUGAUUCGGAGUCCGAUAUGGAUCCCAAGGACAUCCGUCAUGCUCAGGAGGGUUAUACCCACUCGGCCGUGCAGGCCGAGGGGGAUUAUCAUUAUUUGGAGAUU
RNAcentral lists this long non-coding RNA (240 nucleotides) under Nicotiana benthamiana. RNAcentral's name for it is "long non-coding RNA (NBEN_LNC039914)". The record is from RNAcentral. Lineage: Eukaryota; Viridiplantae; Streptophyta; Magnoliopsida; Solanales; Solanaceae.